Parus major (Great Tit) is the source of this 1760-nucleotide long non-coding RNA. RefSeq lists it as uncharacterized. NCBI's taxonomy places the organism in Eukaryota, Metazoa, Chordata, Aves, Passeriformes, Paridae. The transcript has 5 exons. The record is from RefSeq and is a predicted model, not a curated record.
GGGCCCGGGACGCGGAGUGGGUUGUCGUGUCCCUGGAACGGCGUGUCGCCCGUGCCCUCUGCCGUGACCCGCCAGGGGACAGACAGCCCACAAACAAACAACCACAAUCACCCAAAACUGCCCCCAAGCCACCAGCCCGCCCUGUUGCAGCGGCUCCUCCGGGUGGCAUCAGAGCGCAGAGCUGAGGCAUCGGUGAUGUCCACCUCAGCGGGUUUCCCCCACGGGGUAUCCCCACCGUGGGGUCUCUUCCCGAGUGGGUAUUCUCUCAGAGGUUCUCUCCUCUCAGCGGGUCCCGCCACAUCUGGUAUUCCCUCCACAAGUUUGUUCCCUUACCUGGUCUCUUCAGCAGAUUAUCUCUGAAGUGUGUCUCUCCUCUUAGAGGGUCUCCUCCCCCAGCAAGUCUUCUCUCAGUAGGUCUCUCCUCAGCAAAUCUACGACAUGUGGAAGAGAACUCAGCAGGCCUGCCACCUGAGAAAGUCUCUCCCUUGCAGAGGAUUUUCCUUCAGUGGGUUCCCAUCUUGGGCUGGUCCCAGGGGGAUUAAGAAGGAAGAGGAAGACCUAGUUUCAGCAGUGGAGGACUAGCCUAACUCUGCAGAGGCCUCUGCCAUGGACUUCAAUCUCCUCUAGAUCUGUCUACAAUAUCGUUCAACCCAAAUCCACACAAGCACUUAGUGGAACACUUAGGAAACUGAAAAAGUUCCACUUCAGGCUGUAGACCCUGUUUGUGCUGGAUACAGCAUUAAGUGUGUAACAAACCUGAGUGCUUGACCUGAGGAAUCUCACUGCUCUGCCUCGAGGAAUGAUUUCUACUUGAAGGCAACAGAAUCUCCAUCAAGAAGAGCUGUUCGCUGGUCUUGUGGUUUGUGGAUGAGGAGCAGAACCCAUUGCUCUGUACACAGGAGGGAAAGCACUGAUCACUGAAGCUUGUGACCUGUGUGUACAGGUGACUGACAGCAACCAUGACUGCUGAACAAACUGGAGAAGAGAUGAAGACGUGACUUCAUCUGAGGAUGUAAAAUGGCAAGGAGAAAGAAUGAAACCAGUUUGUCACAUGCUCUAAAAUUCUCUCUCUCUCUUUGUCACAUCUUCCACUUUUUAAUUAUUCUCUCCAGGCACCCAAAUGAAAAGGCAGAAAGGCAUUUAAGUGAUCUGUGCAUAGGUGCUACUGCCGUCUCCAGAAGAAAAAAAUUAAUGCUUGAUCAGAAUAAGAAAUUUAUUAAACUCUGGCUAAUGAUACUCUCCUUCAACCCAAGCACCACUGCUAGAAUAGGAUAUUUAAAAUCUUCCUGUCUCCUGGAAAGUCCUUGGAGUUGGAGGCAGUAUGGCAGAAACCUCAGCUAGGUAUGUAGCAUUCAGCAGCUUCACAGAUGAGCUUCCAGGAAAUCUUUACAGCUUUUGUAAUAAAAAUAGCAUUCAUAUAUGACUUUGUUUAUGGUGAGGCCCCAGGGUGAAUUGUUUGGGUUUUGUCUGUAAAAUUCCUUGCCAGUUGGUCUUGCAGAGAACAAGUGUAAGUUGGAGCCUCGUGGAGUUUAAACUCGAUGAGAAGGAAAUAAUAUUUGAGGAGAAAUCAUAUUUUGGACCCAGCAAGUUUGACACUGGCUAAUGCUGCCAGAGUUUGAGUAUUAUUGAAUUUAACAAUCUUUUCCAUCAAAUUCCAGAAUCAUCUGGAACAUUCCCUCUUACGUGAAAUAAAUGCUUGCAAGCUGCCAGGUGAUUAACACUGUUAACUGAGAUGUGAGGGUGUCUCAGGAGACUCUGCU